UGCCAGCCGCCGCGGUAAUACGGAGGGUGCGAGCGUUAAUCGGAAUUACUGGGCGUAAAGCGCGCGUAGGUGGUUUGAUAAGCUAGCUGUGAAAGCCCCGGGCUCAACCGUGGAGGGUCAUUGGAAACUGGGGAACUUGAGUGCAGAAGAGGAGAGUGGAAUUCCACGUGUAGCGGUGAAAUGCGUAGAGAUGUGGAGGAACACCAGUGGCGAAGGCGACUCUCUGGUCUGUAACUGACGCUGAGGCGCGAAAGCGUGGGUAGCGAACAGGAUUAGAUA
This 279-nucleotide ribosomal RNA is filed under the name uncultured bacterium. RNAcentral describes it as "partial 16S ribosomal RNA". It matches the Rfam family "Bacterial small subunit ribosomal RNA", at positions 506 to 784 of the family's 1533-position model. The record is from RNAcentral.